UUUUUGCAGUUUUGUGCCCUUUGUAUUACUAUUACCAGAGGCAACCAUGGAAUUAUUUCCUUCUUGGUACUUUCACUCUGUCUCUUGCUUUUGCUGUGGGGUUGACAUGUGCCUUCACAAGUGGAAAAGUGAUACUGGAAUCCGUAAUCUUAACUGCUGCAGUGAUGAUAAGUCUAACCUUGUACACAUUCUGGGCUGCAAAGAGAGGGCACAAUUUCAAUUUCCUCGGACCCUUUCACUUUGGUGCAUUUUCAUUAUUUAAUAUCAAAUCGUCAUAUUCGACUUACAAGAAUAAAUUACGAUCGAAAUAUGCAUCAAAGCCGAUUGUUCAUUUAUGUGAUUGUUUGUUUAUACAAUUUCUUGUUUCAGAUUUUCUUCCCAUUGGGUCGUAUAAGCGUAAUGAUCUACGGCUCCAUAAUAUUCUUCGGGUACAUCGUUUACGACACUGAUAAUCUGAUCAAACGAUAUAUGUACGAUCAGUACAUUUGGGCUGCCGUUGCACUCUAUUUGGAUGUCAUCAAUCUCUUCCUUUCCUUGAUGACCGUUUUCAGAGUUGCCGAUAGUCAGAUUAAACCGAGUUGCUUCACUUUCUUCUCAUUUGAUAUUACAAUACUAGAAACCGAGCAUAUUAGCAUGUGCUCGUUUUCUUGCUUUUCAUUUUAAUUGCCAAUUUGCAUUAUUGUUUUAUUUUCUGUUUGAAUUUCCAGCUACUAGGUAGCAGCCUUUCAUGGACUCUGCCAUUGUUCCCUAUUGACUUGAAUCUAUAUAAAGGACCCUUUUUUG
This is a non-coding RNA of Erythranthe guttata (spotted monkey flower), 783 nucleotides long. Lineage: Eukaryota; Viridiplantae; Streptophyta; Magnoliopsida; Lamiales; Phrymaceae. The record is from RefSeq and is a predicted model, not a curated record.